Microtus ochrogaster (prairie vole) is the source of this 4284-nucleotide long non-coding RNA. RefSeq lists it as uncharacterized. The transcript has 5 exons. NCBI's taxonomy places the organism in Eukaryota, Metazoa, Chordata, Mammalia, Rodentia, Cricetidae. The record is from RefSeq and is a predicted model, not a curated record.
GCGGAGGACAAGGGUUUGCGGGGGAGGAAAAGCUUCGUAGAGAGAAGACUGGGGACCAGGGGACUCACUCGGGUCCAGCAGGCGGGCUCGGGUCAUUUCCAUAAGAAAGCCGCAACCCAGCUGGAGGCUGAGGCUCUCCCGGGCCUCCCUGCCCCCACCGCCGGUGGCUGCCCGACUUCGGCUCCUCUGGAGCCCAGAUUCAGGCAAGCGCCGCGGUGGGGGUUGACGUUGCUGAGACGUGGCUUCCCGCACUGCCCGACUGGGGAUCCGUUUCUAGUCUCGAGGGAGUGGACCUACCGCACGGGGUGAGUCCAGGGCGUUACUGAGCCUGCACGGGGCAAGGAGAGCUCCGGGAAGCUAGCCCGCAUUGGGCACCCUGAAUCACCAAGUCCUGCAGAAGGACUUUGAAGCGGGAUAUGGGUGGGAGUGCUGGGAGAAAGCCCCAGAACCCAGGAUGUCUGCGGGGUGCUCUUCCAAAUCCCCAGAGCUUUCGCUUUCAGCGGGUGACCGACCCUCUUCCUGCGAAGGGGUGGAAAGUGAACUUGGUCAGACACUUGAUCUCACUAGCGAGCCCGUUCCUUCUCUGUUUACACCGAGUUCUUCGCUGUUUUUAACGCGCAUGAUGAUAGCCACGAUAGCCAUGAAUCUUCAGUCACACACACACACACACACACACACACACACACACACACACACGGUACUUUAUGACCUCAUCUAGAGAAAUCAAAACCCAGAUCUGUACUGUUUAUUCUUAAAUGUACAGAAAAGCAGAGGAGCGAAUGUGAGACAGAUGUCUAUCUGCACUUUGCCUUCUGCUGGGGAAAGUUGCCUGAAAAUGACUAGCUUCCUUUUACGGAUCCUAAACCACCUGUAUUUUGCCACAAAACUAAGUUGGGUCACUAAUAAAGCACCAGUUACAUGGAUCAACGAGAUACCAAUUAUGCCUAUUAACGACUUUAUUACUUACGAUUAUAGUCUAGAACUUCAAACUCGGACAAUACAAUCAAGUGAUUUUUAAAAUCGGUUGCCUAAGAUUGUUUACAUCAUCCCUCCCCUAAACCCGCAGGAAGUUAGAAAACUACAUGAUGUUUUAAGGAGUGUGUGUGUGUGUGUGUGUGUGUGUGUGUGUGUGUGUGUAUUCCUUGUCAAUGCUGAAUUUGUUUCUUUCAGUAAAGUUCGUUGCUACUUCUGGUAAGUAAUGGAAUCUUGAUUUCAGAUCCUUUCAAGUUCUGCAGACUGUCAUUGACUAUGGUGGUUACAACCGACUUGGUUUGGAAGUGGACUUGGGGCAAGGUGAGGGUACACUCUCCCAGUGUUCUGGUAGUGGCGAAGACCGGAGGUCAUUUAAAAGAACAAGUUGUUUUAACUUCUUACUUCAGAUGGGGCAAGGCCUGCCUGGGUGGGGGUGUGGAGAACGAGAGGGUGAAAAAGAUGGAACCUAGGAGAAAAUGAAGAACUGGUGCUAUGUUUUUAGUGGUUUUAGCUGGUGAGCUCACGGGCCUCUGGUGAGUCAGAUGAAAGGAACCGAGUGGCUGUCUGAAGAGGGGCAAGUAUCAGAGGAGUUUAUCAGUUUCAGGGCUACUGUGUGGCUGGGCCUGCUUUUUCCAGGAGGCCAUCUGCCACUUCUCUCUGUCUCUUUGCCAGCCUCUUGUUAUCCCCAAGUGGAGAACCACGCUCAGUUGUGUGUGCAGGGGAGGCAUGGAGCAAAGGAGGGAAUUAAAUUGCUCUUCAAGUCCACAGUUAGAAAGGGGGGGGGGCAACUUAACACAGGUCCUUCUACCUCUCGGAAACAGAGCACUGGGAUUGUUCGUGCAACGAAAUUGAAGUCUGUCUUGCUCAAGACAUCUGCCCAGCACUUCAGCUCCUGGGUGGAAGCCCAUAACACCAGGGUGCAUCUGGUUCUGAUGUACCUGCCAGGUUGCCAGGGCGAUAUGGGCAUAGAUGCCUAGGCUGUGUGGCCCACCCUUGACCUGCUUGGGAUUAACAGGUCCUCUCUCAGCAGCACUAAAGCUUUUGAUUAUUUUGGAGCUCUGGGUGGCCUCUUCCCUUAAGUGAAGCCCAUGGACCUCCUCCUCACUUCUGUUAUGUCAGAGUUAAUUGCCGGGCAGUGGGGUGUCGCUCAUGGUGGGAUGGCCAAAAAAAUACUGCAGGCAAGGACAGUAUCCUCAGCAGGCAACAGGUAAGAGGAUGGCGUGGAAUUCUCUUUUUUCUUUGGUAUCUAAAGGGUCCUGAAACCUAAACUUCCUUUGAAUGGGAUGAUGCUUCGAAUUUUCUCUUCAGUGGUUCCCCAGGGACAAUACUUUUUUUUUGGUCUAGCUUAGACUGUUAGUACCCUGAGUGGGGUCCUGAAAGUAAAACUAGUGCUUUCAGUGGGCAGCUCACCCCAGGGGCACAGCUCAACAACAGAGCGUCCAGGUCAGCAGCAAAUUCCCUCUGUCCCUAAGUGUCCUGAGAACAAAUUCCCUGUGGAUGCCAUGAGAGAGUGAACUGGAGGCUACAACAGGGCUCCUGGGGGCUCUGGAGCCUCCCUACCAAGUCCAUGGUGGAGUGGAGCAGGGCUUGGGGGCAGGGAAGGAAAAAAAAAACAAUCGGUAGUUUUGGACAAAUUGAAGACCAGGAAUGUCCUGAGACUAAGGAGAUGGGAGUGAUGUUACCCUAGAUCUGAUGGGUCUGUGGUCUAAUCCACUUGUCCUGAGCAUUCUAGGAUUCCAGGAUAGAGGAAAGACCAGAGCUCUCCCAAAGUGACCAGUAAAACUGGUCCUCCAACUUGUCCUCACCCCCAUCCCCAAUCCAAAGAGAUCCACAGCACCAGAGCCUGGUAGGACCUACCUCUCAGAAUACCUGGUGGGAGAAUCUGGGGUUUCUUGAACUUAUAAACUUUGGAAAUAGACAAGAAAGGAGGCGAGCUCCCAUCUUUCAGAUUAGGAUUAGGUUAGGCCAGAAAACCUAUUCAUCACUAUACCAUCCUCAUAGGUGGCUCUUGCACGGUGGUUCAGGAUGCCAGGUAAGCUAGGGGGAGGCUGACCCAUCCCUAGCAACCCAAGUCUAUGAAAACAAAUGUUUUCUAAGAACAAAAUUCUACAGCUUUAAAGAUUUCCCUAGCUAGAGCCCAUCUACUUUUAUCGGGGUGUCUCGCAGGCAACCAGAAUCAUUUUCACCUCUUUUUCUCCUUUGUGGCAUGAGGUUGCACUUUAGGAGGUUUGUUGGAUGCUGUUUGCAGCUAGCUCCCCGUCCCUGCCCUCACCUGGCUCUUUGUAUGGAAACUUCACAUGUAAGAUCUUUACAGUGUUUUUUCUCUUCUUCUUCUUCUAUUAUUUUUGACUAGAAAAUUUGACAAGACAGUUUCAUGAACUACAUUGGACUGAUCAGCCAAAAUGCGUCUCAUUUGUAUUUGGAUAUAGCCAAGGGUGGAGUCCACGUCAGUCACUGCCUCCUGAAAUCUCACCAAGGCUUUCUCCCUGGCAGAAAUGUCUAGAAAAUCCUGCUGAGGCCAUUCCUGGGGUGGCUCAGCACUGCCCAGGCCUGUGAGAAAAGAAAGAGGGUGAAGAGUCUGGGGGGUAGCUUUGGGAAUGGGGUUAUUUAGGGGAGUUAGGAGGCUCUGCUGGACCGGAGGUCUGUGGCAGUCUCUCUGGGCUUCUGUUUGGGUUGAAUUAGGAAAGGGAACACCUUUUCUAGAAAGGGAAGGAAGAAUCACUGACUGUAUUUCACACACACACACACACACACACACACACACUUGUCAGAUCUUUUCCUAGAGUUGUAUCCUCACCACCUGCCUUGUCGUGUAAGGAGUAACAUCUGUGGUGUUUUUUUGUACCUGCUCCUAGCCUUGAACUCGAGCUCUGAAGGCCUCAUUAUCUGCUUGUUGUGCGCUGAGCUGCUCUGUGGUUCCUAAAGAGAUGCUGCAGCUACCAACUUGGAGGCGGAUUUCAGUCCUGCAAGUCUCUAGCUGCGCUGAGGAAGCAAUAGCCAAGUAAUGGGCUUAAUGGCUUGGAGAUGCCUACGUCCUCUCUGUGGUCCAGCUCAUGGCCUUUCUACCUGCACACCACACAGUCACUUGGAGAAAAUCAAGUGUAUGUACCUCUCCCUGCCGAUGGUGUAUCUGUAAGUGUGCGAAGUUCAAGCCAAUGAUCCGGGAUCCACCUUCUGCUGAGAGCCCGUCCUGGGGGCACAUCAUUCCUGAGCUCCUGGACAUGCUUCAACAAAAUAUCUCUUGUUCGUUAAAAAAGAAAACAAAGAAAGAAAGGAAGGAAGGAAGGAAGGAAGGAAGGAAGGAAGGAAGGA